This 590-nucleotide ribosomal RNA is filed under the name uncultured Thermoplasmatales archaeon. RNAcentral's name for it is "bacterial SSU rRNA". It matches the Rfam family "Archaeal small subunit ribosomal RNA", at positions 339 to 927 of the family's 1478-position model. Lineage: Archaea; Methanobacteriati; Thermoplasmatota; Thermoplasmata; Thermoplasmatales. The record is from RNAcentral.
UCGCGAAAACUUCGCAAUGGGGGGAAACCCCCGACGAGGGGAAUUCCAAGUGCUAGCACUUUGUGUUAGCUGUUCUUCUGUCUAAAAAACAGGAGAAGUAAGGGGCGGGUAAGACGGGUGCCAGCCGCCGCGGUAAUACCCGCGCCCCGAGUGGUGGUCGAUAUUAUUGAGCCUAAAACGUCCGUAGCCGGUCUUCUAAAUCCUUGGGUAAAUCGGGCAGCUUAACUGUCCGAAUUCCGGGGAGACUGGGAGACUUGGGACCGGGAGAGGUCAGAGGUACUUCUGGGGUAGGGGUAAAAUCCUGUAAUCCUGGAAGGACCACCGGUGGCGAAGGCGUCUGACUAGAACGGAUCCGACGGUGAGGGACGAAGCCCUGGGGCGCAAACGGGAUUAGAUACCCCGGUAGUCCAGGGUGUAAACGCUGCGGGCUUGGUGUUGGGGGUCCUUAGUGGGCGCCCAGUGCCGGAGAGAAGUUGUUAAGCCUGCUGCUUGGGGAGUAUGUCCGCAAGGAUGAAACUUAAAGGAAUUGGCGGGGGAGCACCGCAACGGGAGGAGCGUGCGGUUCGAAUUGGAUUCAACGCCGAAAAACU